AUCCAGUUGGCGAGUCCCAAAUAAGAUGAAACGCGCGUCCUGGAU
RNAcentral lists this non-coding RNA (45 nucleotides) under Schistosoma mansoni. The record is from RNAcentral. Lineage: Eukaryota; Metazoa; Platyhelminthes; Trematoda; Strigeidida; Schistosomatidae.